GAACGGGCUUGGGGGCUUGCUCCCGGGUUAGUGGCGAACGGGUGAGUAAUGUAUCGGAACAUAUCCGGAAGUGGGGGAUAACGUAGCGAAAGUUACGCUAAUACCGCAUAUGCCCUGAGGGGGAAAGGGGGGGAUCGCAAGACCUCUCGCUUUCGGAGUGGCCGAUAUCGGAUUAGCUAGAUGGUGAGGUAAAGGCUCACCAUGGCGACGAUCCGUAGCUGGUCUGAGAGGACGACCAGCCACACUGGAACUGAGACACGGUCCAGACUCCUACGGGAGGCAGCAGUGGGGAAUUUUGGACAAUGGGCGAAAGCCUGAUCCAGCCAUACCGCGUGAGUGAAGAAGGCCUUCGGGUUGUAAAGCUCUUUCAGCCGGAAAGAAAUUGCACUUCUUAAUACGAAGUGUAGAUGACGGUACCGGAAGAAGAAGCACCGGCUAACUACGUGCCAGCAGCCGCGGUAAUACGUAGGGUGCGAGCGUUAAUCGGAAUUACUGGGCGUAAAGCGUGCGCAGGCGGUUUUUUAAGCCAGAUGUGAAAUCCCCGGGCUCAACCUGGGAACUGCAUUUGGAACUGGAAGACUAGAGUAUAGCAGAGGGGGGUAGAAUUCCACGUGUAGCAGUGAAAUGCGUAGAUAUGUGGAGGAAUACCAAUGGCGAAGGCAGCCCCCUGGGUUAAUACUGACGCUCAUGCACGAAAGCGUGGGGAGCAAACAGGAUUAGAUACCCUGGUAGUCCACGCCCUAAACGAUGUCAACUAGUUGUUGGGGGAGGAGACUUCCUUAGUAACGCAGCUAACGCG
Molecule: ribosomal RNA, 799 nt
Filed under: uncultured bacterium
Lineage: Bacteria
Description: bacterial SSU rRNA
Rfam family: Bacterial small subunit ribosomal RNA
Source: RNAcentral